AUCAUUCGUAAAGAGGAAAUGCAUCUUCUGGAAACAAGGGACUGAUGCUAAGAGUUUAUUUUUCGGAAUGAACCGAGAUAAGGAUGGAUGAAUUCAUUGAACUGAUGAAAGAACAUAACUUGGAAAUGUUGGGUCUGUCUGUGUAAAUUCCCAACCGUAGUAUCACAAUGCCAUAAAUAGGAUGCUUGAGUGCCCACCUGACUGUAGCCAUGACUAAUUUUGCACGUUGUUUUCAAAUCAUCAUUGUCACGCGUGCCUUAUGGAGUGAUAGGGUUUCGGCCCGAGAUCGACACCUUGACACCCAAAUUUGUUUCGCCCCAGAUAUCAAGAUUGGGGUUCCCACGAUAAAAGAUCCCAUUGAGACACAACCUUAGACCUCUUUGAACCUUGGCCUAUAAAAAAGGAAUCCUUAUCCUUUCCCCCGAAGCAAAGGACAGCGGAAUCUCCUCAAGGGAGAGCGAAUAGAAUGCUAAAACCCGAUUUCCCAAAGAAAGGGAUGGGGAAGGAAAAGUGAAAAGAAAGAAAAGGAAGAAAUGGAAAGAAAGAAAAAAGAAAAAAGAAAAUAAAGAAAAGAACAGAAGAAAGGAAAGAAGGAUGCCCAAUCAAAGAUCGAAAUGAAGUGAAAAGGGAAAAGAAGCAAUUUUCGAUCAAUGAAAAAAGAGGACAGAAAUUCUUCAAAGCCAGAUUGCCACUCAGAAUCAUUCUUGACUGGCAAUAUCCCACCCCACAUGAACAAAGAGGAAAAGACCGAAACACCCAGUUUCCUCUCCAAAAAAAAAAAAACAAACACACUACCCUCGAGAAAAUCC
Molecule: long non-coding RNA, 809 nt
Filed under: Glycine max (soybean)
Lineage: Eukaryota; Viridiplantae; Streptophyta; Magnoliopsida; Fabales; Fabaceae
Description: long non-coding RNA (GMAX_LNC004543)
Source: RNAcentral